UUGAAGACGACGAGGUAGAUAGGUUGGAGGUGGAAGUGCAGCAAUGCAUGGAGCUGACCAAUACUAAUCGGUCGAGGGCUUAUCCAAGAAC
Molecule: ribosomal RNA, 91 nt
Filed under: Paenibacillus sp. S150
Lineage: Bacteria; Bacillati; Bacillota; Bacilli; Caryophanales; Paenibacillaceae
Description: partial 23S ribosomal RNA
Rfam family: Bacterial large subunit ribosomal RNA
Source: RNAcentral